CUCGGAAUAUCCUCGGAAAUUCCUCGGGAUAUUCUGAGGAUUUUAUUUUCCGUCAGAAUGCCCGUCAGAAUACCGCUGUUUUCUUGUAGUAGUGUAUGUGUUUGAUUGAUUGCCUUACUAAAGUAUAGGAGUAGGUGACAACGUCAGCUUUAGUUAUGACUUAUGAGGUUAGAAUAAUGAGACAUCUCUAAAAAAUGUUUUUUAUAAUGAUAUCUUUAUUAAUUCCAAUAUGUAAAUCUAUGGAACAAAAUACUUA
Molecule: long non-coding RNA, 256 nt
Filed under: Brassica napus (rape)
Lineage: Eukaryota; Viridiplantae; Streptophyta; Magnoliopsida; Brassicales; Brassicaceae
Description: long non-coding RNA (BNAP_LNC026257)
Source: RNAcentral